UCCACUCCUCUCUGUGCCGCCAUCUUCUUCCAUCUACAUGAUCUUUUAAGCAUGUUGUCUUUUUAGCUUCUGGGAGACACCAGAAAUAAAAAGGGAUGGAGAGAACAGAUGGAAAAAUCAGAGUAAUUUAGGAGUUCAGUGUCUUUGUAAACAAUUUUGAUAUGUGGUGAAAUCUUUCUCAAAGCUUGCAGAUAGAUCGUAGUGAGUUUUGCUCAUAGAUUGUUGUGAAUAGAGUGAAAAAUGGCAAAUAGGUUUUUAUGCAUCAAGGUUUAAAUAAUGUGGUUUGUUUUUUUAGGUAAUUGGUCUGAAGUACUUAUAUGCUUUUUGGGGUAGAAAUUCAGCGUAAGGUUGGUCAAGAUUUAAUAAGGUAACUAUAAAAUCAUAAUUCUUAUUCAGAAUAAUGCUAUGAUACAUCUGCACAAAAUCUGUGUAUUUCUGGCCCAUUGUACUGUGUCAGUGAUUACCAAAAUGAGGGAAGGUGUAGACAGGGAUUGUUUAAAAAUGAUUGGAGAAUUAGGGAUGCAAUCCACAAUCGAGGAUUGCAGAUUUUACUGGUUAACUGUAUUCUUUAUUUUUAUUAUUUAAUGUUCAAGUUAACCAGUUCCUCAAAUCUGAACCAGAGCAGGGGGAAACGUGGGGUAUACAAAAUAUUGUAGAUUCAUUUUGGAAAUAAGUAGAAUUCUCAAUUUUUAUAUCUUGUUAUUAUUUGAGAGUAUAUAUUAGGCAUGUAAAUUUAUGGAACUAGUCCAUAGCUAUGCCUCUCUAGCAGGGUAUUUCCCAUUUUUUCCUCUGAAGAUACUAUCAGCUGGUUUUAUUUGACCUUUUAUUUUUGUUUAUCUACCCCCUCCCACCACCCCAAAAAAUAACAGAAAAAAACAAAAGUGAAGAAAUAGAAACUUACCCUAAAAUUAAUUCUAGUUCUGAGUCUUUUACUCACGGAUUGUCUGUUAAUUGAAGAACAUUUGAUUGAAAAGUGUUUCAGAGAGAUCUGUGGAAAGAUUGGUUUUGUUAGUUUUGAAUUUGGCAUAAAUAUGCUUUAACAUGGAACUCUUUUUCCUUUCCCUCUUUCCUAUCACCCUAAAUCUGAAACCCAAGAAGAAAAAGAAGUCCUGUUUGUGUUGUACUAGGUUGAUUUCUAGUUUACUUCUUUGACCCCAUUAUUGUCUCUCUUCCUUUUUGAUGUCAUGUUCCCCUCUUAUAUUCUUAAUGUAGGAUUAAUAGUGAAAACAGUCCCCAUGGGAAACCUCUAGCAUAGCUCUCACUAGUGUGAGAUGUGCUAUAGGGGUUAAUUCUUUUACUUGACAAACAUCUCCUAUGUGUAGCUGUUUUCUCUAGUAGUCUAAAACAUUUCCUUUUCAAUGAAUAUGAAAAAGUUGGGUAUAUUUAACAUUACAGCUGUAUGUGUUGAGUUAAAUGAUUUUAUUCAUGUUGUAGUUCGGAAAUUUUUCAACUUGCAUGCAUGGGAAGUUAUAACAGUAAUAGAACUCAAUUUUCCCUAUGAUUUUUAGCAUUUAAGUAUCACUUAUUAAUAUAAAUUUAUAACUAAAUUUAUUUGGCUUUAUUGAGACCUAGCAGAAUCAUUUAGGAAUUAUGAGGAAUUUGAAGAAGCUGAAACAUUUUUCCUAGCCUCAAAAAAUUUUAAUCUUGUUGAGGUACCAUCAGAGGACCAGCAGUUUUGGAGAUAGAAAGCUCACAGGAUUGGAUUGACAGCAAAAUCCCAGAGGAUACUGGAACCCAAGAUACCAGAGCAGCACUGAAAAGAGGGCAGAGAACUGGAAAAGGUUUUGAAAAUUACAAGAAGAAUUUCAGUGGAUGGACCAAAUAACAGUUUACUGUGAAUCAAGACCAACUUGUUGAAUUGGAACUAAAGAGGAGAAACUCUGUAUAUGGAACAAAAAAUAGAUCUGGAAAAAUUGAGAGAAAAUUUUAAGAGGGUCAAGAAAUAGCAUCAAAAGUUGGUGAAUCAAGAAACAGAAGUAAAAUAAUAUUAAGGUA
This is a long non-coding RNA of Choloepus didactylus (southern two-toed sloth), 1995 nucleotides long. RefSeq lists it as uncharacterized. The record is from RefSeq and is a predicted model, not a curated record. Lineage: Eukaryota; Metazoa; Chordata; Mammalia; Pilosa; Megalonychidae. The transcript has 4 exons.